Molecule: ribosomal RNA, 386 nt
Filed under: uncultured bacterium
Lineage: Bacteria
Description: bacterial SSU rRNA
Rfam family: Bacterial small subunit ribosomal RNA
Source: RNAcentral
AUUGAACGCUGGCGGCAUGCUUUACACAUGCAAGUCGAACGGUAACAGGCCUUCGGGUGCUGACGAGUGGCGAACGGGUGAGUAAUGCAUCGGAACGUGCCCAAUCGUGGGGGAUAACGUAGCGAAAGUUACGCUAAUACCGCAUAAGCCCUGAGGGGGAAAUGGGGGACCGCAAGGCCUCACGCGAAUGGAGCGGCCGAUGUCAGAUUAGCUAGUUGGNGGGGUAAAGCCCACCAAGGCGACGAUCUGUAGCGGGUCUGAGAGGAUGAUCAGCCACACUGGGACUGAGACACGGCCCAGACUCCUACGGGAGGCAGCAGUGGGGAAUAUUGGACAAUGGGGGAAACCCUGAUCCAGCUACGCCGCGUGGGUGAUGAAGGCCUCGG